Non-coding RNA from Parasteatoda tepidariorum (common house spider), 338 nucleotides. The record is from RefSeq and is a predicted model, not a curated record. NCBI's taxonomy places the organism in Eukaryota, Metazoa, Arthropoda, Arachnida, Araneae, Theridiidae.
ACCUUAAAACAGAUGUUUGAUACUUUACUUCACAAAGUUGCUUAUGGAAGAACAACAAAUCUACUCCUUACAGAAGAAUGUUGAUCAUCAUUAUCCGAUUUAGAUUGGACUUUGCAUUGAGCACUUCAUCGUGAUAUAGUCUCCUUGGGUACCAUAUUUUCUAAGAUGUCCAUUGCUGACCUAGCUGCCACGACGAUCGUAGUUUGCCGAGGUGUCCAUUGCUGACCUAGCUGCCAUGAGGAUCGUAGUUUGCCAAGGUGACCUACUUCAGUUGCCUAGUCGUCUUGACGUAACAGAAACGCUGAUCGUAUUUCUUCAGCUAAAAAUCAACUUCAACU